GCCGGGUGCAGUGGUGCAGGCCUGUAGUUCCAGCUACUCAAGAGGCUGAAGUAAGAGGAUCACUGGAGCCCAGGGGUUCUGGGCUGUACUGUGCUAUGCUGAUCAGGUGUCCACACUUAGCUCGCCAUCAAUAUGAUGACCUCCCAGGUGGGAAAUGGAGCAGGUGAAAACUCCCAUGCUGAUCAGUAGUGGGAUCAUGUCUGUGAAUAAUCACUGCACUCCAACUGGGAAACAUAGCAAGACCCCAUCUCU
RNAcentral lists this signal recognition particle RNA (252 nucleotides) under Homo sapiens (human). RNAcentral's name for it is "Metazoan signal recognition particle RNA (ENSG00000276525.1)". It matches the Rfam family "Metazoan signal recognition particle RNA". From Rfam's summary of the family: The signal recognition particle (SRP) is a universally conserved ribonucleoprotein. Lineage: Eukaryota; Metazoa; Chordata; Mammalia; Primates; Hominidae. The record is from RNAcentral.